GGGUGUGAAGGAGACCUGCUGCCACAUCUGUCACUCUGUUGGUCACCAGGGUUAAUUCAGCCCAUCUGGCUGGCUAGGCAGGUGUCCCCUUCCUUCCUCAAAGCUCCACAUCAUCCCUCCCGAAGCUGUGCACUCUUCAAAGAGGAUGACCUUCCUGGAAUAGAGCAGGACCGGAGAAUAGCUGUGCUCCCAUGCUAGAAUCUCCAAACAAGCCCUCAAAUAGGUCUUUUAGAUUUGAGUCCUCAGCUUAAGGGUCUUUCUGUGGUGAGCUGAGGGGACAGGCGUGAGCUGUCACACCCAG
Molecule: small nuclear RNA, 301 nt
Filed under: Cricetulus griseus (Chinese hamster)
Lineage: Eukaryota; Metazoa; Chordata; Mammalia; Rodentia; Cricetidae
Description: 7SK RNA (ENSCGRG00001008374.1)
Rfam family: 7SK RNA (bases 1-261)
About the family: 7SK was discovered as an abundant small nuclear RNA in the mid-70s but a possible function has only recently been suggested.
Source: RNAcentral